AGCUCCAUGAGUGUAACUUUAUAUUGUUGCAGUUAAAAAGUUCGUAGUUGGAUGUCGAGCAAGUUCUGACGAGGGCGGUAAGCAUCGUUCCUUGACAGUCUUGUUUUUCUUGGCGAUUUACUCUCAGUGGGCAUUAAUUUGUCCGCUGAAAAGGGGGCGACCCUGGGUUUCGUCUAGUUUACUGUGAGAAAAUGAGAAUGUUCAUGGUAGGCACUUUGCCUGAAUUUUUCAGCACAGGAUAAUGCAAAAUGCUCAACUUUGUUGAUACGCGGUUCGCCGCAGUUUGUUGGUUUUGAACAGAGAGGAGAAUGAUUGAAAGAAACGGUUGGCGGAGAUAGUACUAGGCAGUGAGAGGUGAAAUUCGUUGAUCUGCUUAAGACUGGCGAUUGCGAAGGCAUUC
This 400-nucleotide ribosomal RNA is filed under the name phytoplankton environmental sample. RNAcentral describes it as "partial small subunit ribosomal RNA". It matches the Rfam family "Eukaryotic small subunit ribosomal RNA", at positions 587 to 956 of the family's 1831-position model. The record is from RNAcentral.